This 71-nucleotide transfer RNA is filed under the name Marmota monax (woodchuck). RNAcentral's name for it is "tRNA.Ala". The record is from RNAcentral. Lineage: Eukaryota; Metazoa; Chordata; Mammalia; Rodentia; Sciuridae.
GGGGUUGUGGCUCAAUAGUAAAAUGCUUGCCUCGCACGCAUGAGGCACUGAGUUCAAACCUCAGCACCACA